UACGUAGGUGGCAAGCGUUGUCCGGAUUUAUUGGGUUUAAAGGGUGCGUAGGCGGCUUGAUAAGUCAGUGGUGAAAGCCGAUCGCUUAACGAUCGAACUGCCAUUGAUACUGCCAGGCCUGAGUAUAGUUGAGGUAGGCGGAAUUGACAGUGUAGCGGUGAAAUGCAUAGAUAUUGUCAAGAACACCAAUUGCGAAGGCAGCUUACUAAAGUAUAACUGACGCUGAGGCACGAAAGUGCGGGGAUCAAACAGG
RNAcentral lists this ribosomal RNA (253 nucleotides) under uncultured bacterium. Its description in RNAcentral is "partial 16S ribosomal RNA". It matches the Rfam family "Bacterial small subunit ribosomal RNA", at positions 524 to 776 of the family's 1533-position model. The record is from RNAcentral.